RNAcentral lists this ribosomal RNA (253 nucleotides) under uncultured bacterium. RNAcentral's name for it is "partial 16S ribosomal RNA". It matches the Rfam family "Bacterial small subunit ribosomal RNA", at positions 524 to 776 of the family's 1533-position model. The record is from RNAcentral.
UACGUAGGCAGCAAGCGUUGUUCGGAGUUACUGGGCGUAAAGGGUGUGUAGGCGGUUUUUUAAGUUUGGUGUGAAAUCUCCCGGCUCAACUGGGAGGGUGCGCCGAAUACUGAAAGACUAGAGUGCGGGAGAGGAAAGUGGAAUUCCUGGUGUAGCGGUGAAAUGCGUAGAUAUCAGGAAGAACACCCGUGGCUAAGGCGGCUCUCUAGUACGUGACUGACGCUGAGACGCGAAAGCGUGGGGAGCAAACAGG